RNAcentral lists this unclassified non-coding RNA (1243 nucleotides) under uncultured fungus. RNAcentral describes it as "sequence contains 18S rRNA gene, ITS1, 5.8S rRNA gene, ITS2, 28S rRNA gene". The stretch from base 335 to 1243 matches the Rfam family "Eukaryotic large subunit ribosomal RNA", at positions 1 to 961 of the family's 3401-position model. Lineage: Eukaryota; Fungi. The record is from RNAcentral.
GGAUGGAUCAUUCUUGAUAAACAAUACCAACUGUAAUGUGUUUGUUGAGCCGAAAUAGAUUGUCUUACAAAUAAAAUCUGAACGAUGGAUGACUCGACUCUCGUAACGAAGAAGGACGCAGCAAACCGCGAUAUGCAGUAUGAUGUGCAAUCUCUCGUGAAUCACUAGAUUUCUGAACGCAAUUGUACUCCAGCAUCAGCUGCAGUGUGAAUGGCUCGGCGUUGAACAAAUAGAUAUUCAAUAUCUUAUGAGGGUCUCCUUAAUUGUUGGCCGAAUGAUCGUGUUUGUUUUCGCAGCUGAAAUUGAAGUCAACAACCGAUGGUUUCAAAAAUUUAAACCCGAGACUGUUCAGGAUAACUCGCUGAAUUUAAGCAUAUAAUUAAGCGUAGGAAAAGAAAUCAACAGAGAUUUCCUGAAUAGCGGCGAGCGAAAAGGAAUCAACUCAAUUUGUAAAUCGAUAGCUUCAUAACUGUCGAGUUGUACAUGGCUAGUGCCUGGGGUUCCGAACAUCUAAUUUUCUUGGAAAAGAAGGCCACAGCAGGUGACAGCCCUGUCUAUGAUGUUAUGGUUCCCUAAACGGUACAAGCCGCAAGAGUCGUGCUCUUUGUGAGUAGAGUGCAACAAGGGUGGUAAUCUUCAUCCGAAGUUAAAAAUUGACGAGAGAUCGAUAGCGAACAAGUACCCCGAGGGAAAGUUGAAAAGCACUUCGAAAGGAGAGUUAAAAGACCUGAAAUCGUUCAGAGGGAAGCGUUUGGCUGUGACCUAAGCAGUGUGUCGUAAUCUGGCAAUUAAGUAAGCCGUUAACUGUUGUCAAAGCAUGUUGAUGGUGGAUCAUUAGCCUGAGGAUCUGCAUAUUGCUUGACGACAUCAUUUUAGUAAAAGCUGAUUUUCGUUUUUACCGAAUGAGUAAUACCACAUUGUGUACAAUGUCGUCAAAGGCACGUCCAAACGACCCGUCUUGAAACACGGACCAAGGAGUUAAACUCAUGUGCAAGUGUAAGGAUGUAGAAUCUGCACGCGAAGUGAAAGCAAUAGCUGUGAACACUGUGCAACAGCGGCCGACCAUGAAGUUCGAGCUUUAGCAUAUUUGUUUAGACCCGAAAGAUGGUGAACUAUACCUGAGUAGAGUGAAGUCAGGGGAAACUCUGAUGGAAGCUCGUAGCGAUACUGACGUGCAACUCGUUCGUCAAACUUGGGCAUAGGGGCGAAAGACUAAUCGAACCAUCUAGUAGCUGGUUCCCUC